This 229-nucleotide ribosomal RNA is filed under the name uncultured bacterium. RNAcentral describes it as "partial 16S ribosomal RNA". It matches the Rfam family "Bacterial small subunit ribosomal RNA", at positions 104 to 334 of the family's 1533-position model. The record is from RNAcentral.
CGGGGUGAGUAAUGUCUGGGAAACUGCCUGAUGGAGGGGGAUAACUACUGGAAACGGUAGCUAAUACCGCAUAAUGUCGCAAGACCAAAGAGGGGGACCUUCGGGCCUCUUGCCAUCGGAUGUGCCCAGAUGGGAUUAGCUAGUGGGUGGGGUAACGGCUCACCUAGGCGACGAUCCCUAGCUGGUCUGAGAGGAUGACCAGCCACACUGGAACUGAGACACGGUCCAG